RNAcentral lists this ribosomal RNA (471 nucleotides) under Triticum aestivum (bread wheat). RNAcentral's name for it is "partial small subunit ribosomal RNA". The record is from RNAcentral. Lineage: Eukaryota; Viridiplantae; Streptophyta; Magnoliopsida; Poales; Poaceae.
AUGGGGCGGUUGGCGAGGGCGCAGCGCUUGGGGAUGGUCAUCGCGACGGCGGGCUUGACGCCGGCCUGGCGGGCGGUGCUGGACAGCAUGACGGCGCACAGGCACUUGGGGCUGCGCCCGAUGCUGCGUAUCUGCGCGCAGCAGCCGGGCGCCACCUUGGCCCGCGGGUUCUGCGUGGCCGCCGCGCACGGGGCCAGCUUGAGCGCCAUCCUGUCCGCCGGGACGCGGCCGCACUCCCCGGCGCCGCGCGCCGCCCCGAGCCCGGCCACCAGGAGCAUCGCCAGCAUGCAGAGGCACCUCGCCGCCUUGGACUCCAUCUCUCCUCAGCUGCAGCUACGCUUCACGGUUCUCUUUCUGCAGUGCACACUCGGAUGGACGGAUGGUGAUCUUCUCGGUGCCUCGGCCAGGGUAUAUAUACACCUCUCCGGGUCAUGGUGGAUUGGUGGAUGGAGGCCAUCGAUGGCCGCGUGA